GAAGGCUUGGCUGUCCAGUAGGAAUAUUUGUCAGCUGUCUUGAGCUUUGACUCAUGACUGCUAAAGGGAAUGUGCCCGCAAGUUAAUUCCCCAGGGGAGAAAAUAGGAUUAAGGAAAGACGUGAAGGUUUAGGGACAAUAGCUGUUUAACGGGCAGCUGGGCACUCGGGGAAGCUGGUAAGAGGUGGAACAGGCCACUGAGUUGGAUCCGUUGAGGACACAGCAGCCCUUCCCUGAGCUAAAAACAGUCCCAGGGCUUCGGUUCCGGUCUGCGUGUUGGCUUGUUUGUCAAGGCGGCUUGGUUGAACUCAUUUUUUCCCCACUUUCUGUGAUGCUUGGGAAGUGGAAGACCACACAGUUGGGGUCACCAGCCUACAGCAGAGUGAGAACAACCUGAGUAUCCGCACACAGAUGAACGGAUAAACACGUCGUAUGCACGCGAUGGGAUGUGACUCUACCCUAACAAGGAAUGAAUUCUGACACUGCUACAACACGGAUGGGCUGUAAAGACGUUAUGCUCGCUGUAACAGUCUAAACAAAAAAGACAAAUGUUGUGCGAUUCCACUUCUAUGAGGGAACAAGCCUAAUGGAGUGAAUAGAGACAGGAAGUAGGGUGGCGGUUAUUGUUUCACGGGCACAGAGUUCCGCUUUGGGAAAGUGACAUCUGGAGAUGGAUCUGCAGCAAGGGGAAUGCGUUUAACGCCCCUGAGCUGUACGUUUAAAAAUGGACAAAGUGAGUCAAAGCGCUGUUUUCCGAAGUGGCUCCAAUCUCCUGGAGGCUGGGAGAGCCCCGUGUUGGGCUUACAGCAAAGGAGCCGAGCAGUCUGCUGGGGUCAGGAGUCCGCGCCAUCUCUGCGCCUGGCCCGCCUGAGUGAGCCCCUCGGGGUCCCCAGAAGGUUCUGUCUCUGUUGAUUGCGUCUUGCUUCAUGAAAAGGCAACUUCUCAGGGGCCCCCUUGUUACUUAAAAACAAAUCAGCUCAAAAUAAUCCUUUUGCCAAAGAAAAGCUACCCCAGGCUGGCGUAUUCAGCUACCCCUCAGUGCCUUCCUGUGACCGGAGCCAUGGCCCCCACCGGUCACCACGGCUGCUCCCCCAUCUCGGCGGCCCCAGGCUGGCGGACGUGAGGCUCAGGCUGUGUGCGGUGGGAAGGAAGGACGGCAGAACGCGCGGAGAUCUGGAUUCAGGCCUCGAGGCCCUGCGUUUGGGUCGUGGGGCCGGAGUCUCUGACCCCCACCCGCUGCAGCUGUGACGUAGGAUACAGUUUCCAGGCCGCUCGUGGCUGCGCGUGUGAGCACGGGGUUCACAGCGGCGGAUCCCAACCCGGCUGCACUUGACUUCUACCAGUCCCGCCUGCAGAGAUGACCCCGUGGGCCCGGGAGCCACGGGAGCCCCAGGACGUCCCAGAGUGACUCCAGCGCGCCCUGGACUCCUGGGAACUUGCUAGAAAUGUAAAUAAUAAUAAUAAUAAUAAUAAUUCUUCUUCUUCUUCUUCUUCUUCUUCUUCUUCU
Molecule: long non-coding RNA, 1506 nt
Organism: Hyaena hyaena (striped hyena)
Lineage: Eukaryota; Metazoa; Chordata; Mammalia; Carnivora; Hyaenidae
Exons: 5
Source: RefSeq, a predicted model, not a curated record